Molecule: long non-coding RNA, 1756 nt
Organism: Ipomoea triloba (trilobed morning glory)
Lineage: Eukaryota; Viridiplantae; Streptophyta; Magnoliopsida; Solanales; Convolvulaceae
Exons: 6
Source: RefSeq, a predicted model, not a curated record
CGAGAGGAUAACGGAGGUCUCUCCCCGGGCCAAUGACGGAGAGAUCGAGGAAGCGAGACGGCGGCACCGAGUUGUGUGUAGACGGUGGAGUUGUGUACAACGGGAGCGCAUUCGCCGAUGGAAGCUCUUUCCAAGAUAUGUAAACCACACUAUAAUCUGUUGCAUUUUUAUGGUUGAGCGUUUGAAAGAUAAACUGUUGAUUAAGGAAUUAUUUGAUAUUUGUGAAUUAGAAUAAUCAUGUCUGUACACACACACACACACCAUUUCUUUUUGGUUUAUAUGACUGGUUAUUUUCGAAAUAGAAGAAAAUGAAGAACACUCAGUUGCAUUCUAAAGUGAAAAUGCAUCAGUGGGAAAUUAGGUCAGGAAUUCGUUAUUUGAAUUUUGAAAUCAUACCGAGUCUAAUCUUCCUAACUAUGUACUCUUUGGUAUAUUCAAGUAAAUAUGGUCUGGACUUGUUCAAUUUGGAUGUACAAGAACUCAAGAAGUGAACACUUGGCAUUGAUUAACUCACUCUUAUUGCUAGUUGUGUUGUUACAUACCUGUUUUCUAUCACCUAAUGGGCUAUCUUAAUUAGUUUGUUACAUAAGUCUUGAGCAAUGGCAUCUAACACAAGCUAUGCAUUUCCAAGUGAUGGUUGUAUGGAAGAUGCUAUUCUUCAAGGUUGCUCUAGUUUGGAAAUUUACAAUUCUUGGUUCACCCCACAUUUUGGUGAGUGGGCAUUAGGGUUUUGUGCAGAGAUAUACAAUAAAGACAGUCCAGGCUAUGCAUAUCAAGGUGACCAACCCUUGCAGUGUGUGAGCUCACUAGACCUAUCUAAUAGAUGCAUUAACAACCUCUUCCAGUAAGGUAUGUUAUGGAUGAAUUAGGUUCAUCUCUGCGGCUCCUUUCCUCUACAUGCCAGAGGGUGAAUUGGCAUCAGCUGUGAGCUAUUCAAUUCUUUGGCCAACUGAAGAUAUUCAAAGAAAUGAUGAGUGCACUCGUGAUUUCCUAUUUGGAAUUGGGGAAGAUAAACAACGCUCGGCUAUUAAAAAGUCAUUGCUUGUCUAAUCUCCAGGAGUAUGAGGCAUGCAGAAAUUGCAAUCAACCAAAUUUACUCCCCCACUAAAAGAGUCAUCUGUUACGAGUGCUUUGUACCGUGCUGAUGGAAGUGCUUUGCGUGUGUAUACAGAUAUACCUCAUGUGGAGGAAUUCCUGAACCGCCCUGAAUUUGUAAUUAGUUUCAUUCGGUUUGGAGCUAGGGAUCCAUACACCAACUUUUGACAUGGACCUUUCCGACUUCAUGGAUGGUGACCAGCCUAUGUCAUAUGAGAAAGCAUACAAAUAUUUUUCCCGUGAUCCAUCUCAAAGUCACCUACUUUGCGAGGGAAAAUUCCGCCUCCACCGCUCACGACAGAUUAUUUCCGUCGCGAAAUGAAAUACAACAAGUCUUGACACUACGAAAUGAAUUCCGUCGCGAAAAUGUAAAAUUCCGUCGGAAAAUGUGAUUUGUGAUAGGAUUUCACGUUUUUGCAACGGAAUCACGAUUUUUCUUGUAGUGUUGAGAAUGAUAUUGGAGAGGUUACACAAGAUGAUGAAGCCAUGAUUGAUGUAGAGUUGCAGUAUAAGGAUAAGGGAAAGAAGGUUAACUAUAAAGACAAUGUUAAGUGUAAGGCUAAGGGCAAUGUUAAUGACCAAGAAGAAAGCAAAAAAAAAAAGGAUGAGGGUGAGGUAUGUAGUGAGGAUUACUAUUAUGACUUUGCAAACCCACCAAUAG